RNAcentral lists this ribosomal RNA (305 nucleotides) under uncultured bacterium. RNAcentral's name for it is "bacterial SSU rRNA". It matches the Rfam family "Bacterial small subunit ribosomal RNA", at positions 333 to 638 of the family's 1533-position model. The record is from RNAcentral.
GCACCUACGGGGCGCAGCAGUGAGGAAUAUUGGUCAAUGGGCGGGAGCCUGAACCAGCCAAGCCGCGUGAGGGAAGAAGGUACAGCGUAUCGUAAACCUCUUUUGUCAGGGAACAAAGGCGGGGACUAGUCCCCGGAUGAGGGUACCUGAAGAAAAAGCAUCGGCUAACUCCGUGCCAGCAGCCGCGGUAAUACGGAGGAUGCGAGCGUUAUCCGGAUUUAUUGGGUUUAAAGGGUGCGCAGGCGGAUUUUUAAGUCAGCGGUCAAAUCGUGGGGCUCAACCCCAUCCAGCCGUUGAAACUGGGG